UUCCUAUUCUAAAAACAAAAAUAGCAUAACCUGAAUAAUACACUUUAGAUUUCAUUUUAUAUGUUUACUUGUCAAUAAGAAAAAUAUAUGACACUAAUGUAAAAUUUAUUACAGCCAAAAGCCUAACAUCAAAGCAACCGAUAAAACACAUUAAACCAUGCGGUACUUUGUGAAGAAUAGUAUAAACAGAUUUCAAUUUUGAUAAUAUUUCUGUUCGGGCAAUUUAAUAUUCAUUUAAAAGUUAUUUAUAAUUUAUGUCAAAUUACCACUAAACAAUCCCUGUUACUUCCUCAUUCUGUUUUGUACCAUAUACUAUUUUGUUGUAUUGUGAAUCACUAUAGUAUCUAUUUAUAUACAUCACCUAUUAGUUUUACAAG
Molecule: long non-coding RNA, 377 nt
Filed under: Mytilus galloprovincialis (Mediterranean mussel)
Lineage: Eukaryota; Metazoa; Mollusca; Bivalvia; Mytilida; Mytilidae
Source: RNAcentral